Molecule: small nuclear RNA, 107 nt
Organism: Ochotona princeps (American pika)
Lineage: Eukaryota; Metazoa; Chordata; Mammalia; Lagomorpha; Ochotonidae
Source: Ensembl
GUGCUCGCUUCGGCAGCACAUGUACUAAAACUGAACAAGACAGAGAAGAUUAACAUGACCCCUGCACAAGGAUGGCAUGCAAAUUUGUGGGAGUAUUCCAUGUUUUU